GGUUGUGGCUCAGUGGUACAGCUCCUGCCUCCCAUGCAUGAGGCACUGGGAUCAAUCCUCAGCACCA
Molecule: transfer RNA, 67 nt
Filed under: Marmota monax (woodchuck)
Lineage: Eukaryota; Metazoa; Chordata; Mammalia; Rodentia; Sciuridae
Description: tRNA.Gly
Source: RNAcentral